RNAcentral lists this unclassified non-coding RNA (312 nucleotides) under Hevea brasiliensis (rubber tree). The record is from RNAcentral. Lineage: Eukaryota; Viridiplantae; Streptophyta; Magnoliopsida; Malpighiales; Euphorbiaceae.
GUGCUUUACAAUCUCCUUUGUGCCCCUGGGAUUUCAAACUGUUCUCUAGCUGAUGUAGCACAUCAAACAUUGAAAAGAUGUCAAACGUAGAGUGGCACAAUAUAUUGCUCAUUACCUUCUCAUUAAACACAGAACCAGAGAUCUGACGAACAAAGUGUUCAAUCCGUCGGGGUGAGAAAGAGUUGCCUGUAUCCAAGAAAAUAACUCUACCCUUGUGUUGUAUCGCAACAUUUGCAGCUACUCGUAAGCAAAGUUGGGUUUUACCAGAUGAUGAUGGCCCAACCAAUUCAGUCAACUGUCCCUCCCGCAAUC